UCAGGAUGAAACGCUAGCGGCAGGCCUAAUACAUGCAAGUCGAACGAUAGAAGAAUGCUUGCAUUCUUCGAAAGUGGCGCACGGGUGCGUAACGCGUAUGCAACCUACCUUAAUCAGGGGGAUAGCCCGAAGAAAUUCGGAUUAACACCGCAUAAAAUCACAGUACAGCAUUGUACAAUGAUCAAAUAUUUAUAGGAUUAAGAUGGGCAUGCGUGACAUUAGUUAGUUGGCGGGGUAACGGCCCACCAAGACCACGAUGUCUAGGGGAUCUGAGAGGAUGACCCCCCACACUGGUACUGAGACACGGACCAGACUCCUACGGGAGGCAGCAGUAAGGAAUAUUGGUCAAUGGAGGCAACUCUGAACCAGCCAUGCCGCGUGCAGGAAGACAGCCCUCUGGGUCGUAAACUGCUUUUUAUUCGGGAAUAAACCUCAUUACGUGUAUUGAGCUGAAUGUACCGAAGGAAUAAGGAUCGGCUAACUCCGUG
RNAcentral lists this ribosomal RNA (488 nucleotides) under uncultured Pedobacter sp. RNAcentral describes it as "bacterial SSU rRNA". It matches the Rfam family "Bacterial small subunit ribosomal RNA", at positions 24 to 507 of the family's 1533-position model. The record is from RNAcentral. Lineage: Bacteria; Pseudomonadati; Bacteroidota; Sphingobacteriia; Sphingobacteriales; Sphingobacteriaceae.